Long non-coding RNA from Mauremys reevesii (Reeves's turtle), 910 nucleotides. RefSeq lists it as uncharacterized. NCBI's taxonomy places the organism in Eukaryota, Metazoa, Chordata, Testudines, Geoemydidae. The record is from RefSeq and is a predicted model, not a curated record. The transcript has 5 exons.
AUAGCAUGAAGGAUGUGGCAGACACUGGAUGCAUCAUUCAACUGUCUUCCAGCCCUUCACAGUAUAAGCAGAACAGGUUGUAGGGUAUACUUUUUAGCAGGAAUGAGGGGGAAUAAAGAGAAGAAGAACUGUAGGAUUGAUGGAGGAGAUCAAUGUGGAGGAAGAGAUCCUUGAAUGAAAUUUCCUCCACUUGCCACCUAUGUUCACUUUCAGCAAUGAGCCUGUUACUGUUCCAGAAGGACAUUCCCUCUUAUUCCAUGAAUGCAUAGUUUGCUGAAGAAUCUUUGAGAGUCCAGAUACACAAAAUCCACUGGAUCACCUUUGUCCACAUUUAUUGAACUCCCUCAAAGAAUUCUAAUAGAUUGGUGAACAACGCCCCAGUGUGAUGGAGUAUGAGUAGUCUAAGGCUGCCACCACUUGGCAAGUGUCCCCACCUGGGCCAAAAUGAGGAGAUAAGUGGUAAAGGACUGGAUGAACCAGAGAAGCCUGAAAUCUCAGGGAUGUGUGAUAUCUGCCUACGGAGAAGAAGGGAGCUCCCAUUGACUUCGGCUGCAGCUGUGAGGGCUCAGCACUUCUGCGAAUUGGAUCCCAGAUGUCUCAAAUCACAUACCCAGAAAAUGAGGAGCACACAGUAGCUACCUGUGAAUAUCAUGCUUGAAGACAUGUACCCAGCAUCACAUGGGACCACAGUAGCAGAUGCAGAGAUAGAAGCCAAUUCUCCAGAAUGGUAUUCAGAUGUCUUAACCAGGAGAACAUCCUUUCUUUUCCUUCAAUCCCCUGCCUUAUUCACUGCAUGCCUUCUAAUUUCUGCAAUAAAUGAGGGUUCUACAGAUAACAGUCUCAUUCACUAUAUAACCCUGAUUCAUUCCCUGAGCAUAGUCUGUCCUGUGCACUGAAUGAGUCAAGGAUC